AUACGUAGGGGGCGAGCGUUGUCCGGAAUUACUGGGCGUAAAGGGUGCGUAGGCGGUCUGUUAAGUCAGAUGUGAAACUCCAUGGCUCAACUGUGGGCUUGCAUUUGAAACUGGCAGGCUAGAGUGCAGGAGAGGGAAGUGGAAUUCCUAGUGUAGCGGUGAAAUGCGUAGAGAUUAGGAGGAACACCAGUGGCGAAGGCGGCUUCCUGGCCUGUAACUGACGCUGAGGCACGAAAGCGUGGGGAGCGAACAGGAUUAGAUACCCUGGUAGUCCACGCCGUAAACGAUGGAUACUAGGUGUAGGGGGUCAUAGACCUUCUGUGCCGUAGUUAACGCACUAAGUAUCCCGCCUGGGGAGUACGGCCGCAAGGUUGAA
RNAcentral lists this ribosomal RNA (376 nucleotides) under uncultured bacterium. RNAcentral's name for it is "bacterial SSU rRNA". It matches the Rfam family "Bacterial small subunit ribosomal RNA", at positions 523 to 898 of the family's 1533-position model. The record is from RNAcentral.